ACUGCAUCCUAAGCGCCAGCACUUGGCACCAGGGUUCGGCACACUGGACAAGUGGACGAGGUGGAGGUGUUCGGAUUGUUCGGCGGGGACCUCCCGGUGCGCCAACGGCACCGCAAUAGCAUGACGGAAAGCGGCAAGGUGACUUGCCGGACAACGCCUGCUUACGUUGACA
RNAcentral lists this non-coding RNA (172 nucleotides) under Paenibacillus popilliae. Its description in RNAcentral is "GlcN6P sequence". It matches the Rfam family "glmS glucosamine-6-phosphate activated ribozyme aptamer". From Rfam's summary of the family: This entry contains a glucosamine-6-phosphate activated ribozyme that is found in the mRNA for GlmS. GlmS is an enzyme that uses fructose-6-phosphate and glutamine to generate glucosamine-6-phosphate. Lineage: Bacteria; Bacillati; Bacillota; Bacilli; Caryophanales; Paenibacillaceae. RNAcentral also lists the same sequence under 1 other name. The record is from RNAcentral.